This is a non-coding RNA of Cordylochernes scorpioides, 129 nucleotides long. NCBI's taxonomy places the organism in Eukaryota, Metazoa, Arthropoda, Arachnida, Pseudoscorpiones, Chernetidae. The record is from the annotation of a GenBank genome assembly.
UGCAUCGGCAGGGAAUCGAACCCGGGGUGCCCGCCACUAUAAUAUAUAAAUGAGUUUUAAAAAUUGUAAAAAAAAAAAAAAAUGCAUCGCCCGCGUGGCAGGCGAGCAUUCUACCACUGAACCAAAAGC